RNAcentral lists this ribosomal RNA (497 nucleotides) under uncultured bacterium. RNAcentral's name for it is "partial 16S ribosomal RNA". It matches the Rfam family "Bacterial small subunit ribosomal RNA", at positions 28 to 507 of the family's 1533-position model. The record is from RNAcentral.
GACGAACGCUGGCGGCGUGCCUAAUACAUGCAAGUUGAGCGAUGAAGAUUGGUGCUUGCACCAAUUUGAAGAGCAGAGAACGGGUGAGUAACGCGUGGGGAAUCUGCCUUUGAGCGGGGGACAACAUUUGGAAACGAAUGCUAAUACCGCAUAAUAACUUUAAACAUAAGUUUUAAGUUUGAAAGAUGCAAUUGCAUCACUCAAAGAUGAUCCCGCGUUGUAUUAGCUAGUUGGUGAGGUAAAGGCUCGCCAAGGCGAUGAUACAUAGCCGACCUGAGAGGGUGAUCGGCCACAUUGGGACUGAGACACGGCCCAAACUCCUACGGGAGGCAGCAGUAGGGAAUCUUCGGCAAUGGACGAAAGUCUGACCGAGCAACGCCGCGUGAGUGAAGAAGGUUUUCGGAUCGUAAAACUCUGUUGGUAGAGAAGAACGUUGGUGAGAGUGGAAAGCUCAUCAAGUGACGGUAACUACCCAGAAAGGGACGGCUAACUACGUG